UGGGGAAUAUUGGACAAUGGGCGCAAGCCUGAUCCAGCCAUGCCGCGUGAGUGAUGAAGGCCCUAGGGUUGUAAAGCUCUUUCACCGGUGAAGAUAAUGACGGUAACCGGAGAAGAAGCCCCGGCUAACUUCGUGCCAGCAGCCGCGGUAAUACGAAGGGGGCUAGCGUUGUUCGGAUUUACUGGGCGUAAAGCGCACGUAGGCGGACUUUUAAGUCAGGGGUGAAACCCCGGGGCUCAACCCCGGAACUGCCUUUGAUACUGGAAGUCUUGAGUAUGGUAGAGGUGAGUGGAAUUCCGAGUGUAGAGGUGAAAUUCGUAGAUAUUCGGAGGAACACCAGUGGCGAAGGCGGCUCACUGGACCAGUACUGACGCUGAGGUGCGAAAGCGGGGGGAGCAAACAGG
RNAcentral lists this ribosomal RNA (404 nucleotides) under Actinomycetes bacterium. RNAcentral's name for it is "Actinobacteria bacterium partial 16S ribosomal RNA". It matches the Rfam family "Bacterial small subunit ribosomal RNA", at positions 355 to 776 of the family's 1533-position model. Lineage: Bacteria; Bacillati; Actinomycetota; Actinomycetes. The record is from RNAcentral.